This 103-nucleotide ribosomal RNA is filed under the name Alkalibaculum sporogenes. Its description in RNAcentral is "Alkalibaculum sp. M08DMB partial 16S ribosomal RNA". It matches the Rfam family "Bacterial small subunit ribosomal RNA", at positions 1 to 100 of the family's 1533-position model. The record is from RNAcentral. Lineage: Bacteria; Bacillati; Bacillota; Clostridia; Eubacteriales; Eubacteriaceae.
UUUAAUUUGAGAGUUUGAUCCUGGCUCAGGACGAACGCUGGCGGCGUGCCUAACACAUGCAAGUCGAACGAGUUACUUAAGCUUGCUUAAGUAAUUAGUGGCG